This 395-nucleotide unclassified non-coding RNA is filed under the name soil metagenome. RNAcentral describes it as "partial contains 5.8S ribosomal RNA, internal transcribed spacer 2, and large subunit ribosomal RNA". The stretch from base 1 to 120 matches the Rfam family "5.8S ribosomal RNA", at positions 35 to 154 of the family's 154-position model. The record is from RNAcentral.
GAUGAAGGAACGUAGCGAAAUGCGAUAAGUAAUGUGAAUUGCAGAAUUCAGUGAAUCAUCGAAUCUUUGAACGCACCUUGCGCCUUUUGGUAUUCCGAAAGGCACACCUGUUGAGCGUCAUGAAUACCUCAAUCUCCAUCUUUUCUUCGGAUUGAUGGGUGACUUGGAUGUUGAGCCCUGCUGGUAUGCUAUAUCAGCUGGCUUUAAACUUAUUAGCCGGCUCUGUACUGGAUCGGUUUGACUCGACGUGAUAAUAUUAUCGUUGAGGAUGCAUGUCUCAUGCAGCCGGAAAGUAUCAAAGCAGCUUCUAGCUUGCCUUUAGUGCACUUUUACAUUUUAGACCUCAGAUCAGGUGGGACUACCCGCUGAACUUAAGCAUAUCAAUAAGCGGAGGA